UGGUUCUGGCAUCGAUGAAGAACGCAGCGAAAUGCGAUAAGUAAUGUGAAUUGCAGAAUUCAGUGAACCAUCGAAUCUUUGAACGCACAUUGCGCCCGCCGGUAUUCCGGCGGGCAUGCCCGUCCGAGCGUCAUUUCAAACCUCAAGCCCCGCUUGGUGCUGGGAGCCCACGGCUGCCGUGGCCCCCCGAAACGAGUGGCGGGCUCGCCCUGAUCCCUAGCGCAGUAGCGAUACCUCGCCUGGGCCGAUCGGCGCGCCCUGCCGUUAAACCCCCCACCAGCCGGGGGAGCACUGCUCCCCCGCGACCUUGACCUCGGAUCGGGUAGGAAUACCCGCUGA
This 339-nucleotide unclassified non-coding RNA is filed under the name uncultured fungus. RNAcentral describes it as "partial contains 5.8S ribosomal RNA and internal transcribed spacer 2". The stretch from base 1 to 133 matches the Rfam family "5.8S ribosomal RNA", at positions 22 to 154 of the family's 154-position model. Lineage: Eukaryota; Fungi. The record is from RNAcentral.